UCUUCAAGCUUGUCAUUCGCGAUAUUACAUCAUAGAAACGAGAUAUGUCAUUAGUGUAUAAUUUACGAGCCUUUUCCCAAACUAAAUAACGUGUCUGGAAUGGACGGAACAUUGGCAUCAACUUGGAUUCAAUAGUUCGCCACAGGAUACUACAUAACUGAGCAUCGACCUUCUCCCAUAGUGUUUUGGCCUUUUCAUCACCUUCGAUAACCCUUUUUGUUAAAUGAUCGUGAACUCCUUGACCUUUACAGCACAACUCGACAGACGAAGCCCAAGGUAGGUAGUUUGAAC
RNAcentral lists this long non-coding RNA (291 nucleotides) under Nicotiana benthamiana. Its description in RNAcentral is "long non-coding RNA (NBEN_LNC018969)". The record is from RNAcentral. Lineage: Eukaryota; Viridiplantae; Streptophyta; Magnoliopsida; Solanales; Solanaceae.